UAGAAUUCCACGUGUAGCGGUGAAAUGCGUAGAGAUGUGGAGGAAUACCGGUGGCGAAGGCGGCCUUCUGGACAGAUACUGACGCUGAGAUGCGAAAGCGUGGGGAGCAAACAGGAUUAGAUACCCUGGUAGUCCACGCUGUAAACGAUGUCGAUUUGGAGUUUGUUGCCUAGAGUGAUGGGCUCCGAAGCUAACGCGAUAAAUCGACCGCCUGGGGAGUACGGCCGCAAGGUUAAAACUCAAAUGAAUUGACGGGGGCCCGCACAAGCGGUGGAGCAUGUGGUUUAAUUCGAUGCAACGCGAAGAACCUUACCUGGUCUUGACAUCCACAGAAUCUUGCAGAGAUGCGAGAGUGCCUUCGGGAACUGUGAGACAGGUGCUGCAUGGCUGUCGUCAGCUCGUGUUGUGAAAUGUUGGGUUAAGUCCCGCAAACGAGCGCAACCCCUAUCCUUUGUUGCCAUCGGUUAGGCCGGGAACUCAAAGGAGACUGCCGUUGAUAAAGCGGAGAAGGUGGGGACGACGUCAAGUCAUCAUGGCCCUUACGACCAGGGCUACACACGUGCUACAUGGCGUAUACAAAGGGAGGCGACUCGCGAGAGCAAGCGGACCUCAUAAAGCACGUCUAGUCCGGAUGGAGUCUGCACUCGACUCCAUGAAGUCGGAAUCGCUAGUAAUCGUGAAUCAGAAUGU
This 690-nucleotide ribosomal RNA is filed under the name uncultured Gilliamella sp. RNAcentral describes it as "bacterial SSU rRNA". It matches the Rfam family "Bacterial small subunit ribosomal RNA", at positions 662 to 1357 of the family's 1533-position model. The record is from RNAcentral. Lineage: Bacteria; Pseudomonadati; Pseudomonadota; Gammaproteobacteria; Orbales; Orbaceae.